GAUGAACGCUGGCGGCGUGCUUAACACAUGCAAGUCGAACGAUGAACCUCACUUGUGGGGGGAUUAGUGGCGAACGGGUGAGUAACACGUGAGUAACCUGCCCUUGACUCUGGGAUAAGCCUGGGAAACCGGGUCUAAUACUGGAUACGACCUUCUGGCGCAUGCCAUGUUGGUGGAAAGCUUUUGUGGUUUUGGAUGGACUCGCGGCCUAUCAGCUUGUUGGUGGGGUAAUGGCCUACCAAGGCGACGACGGGUAGCCGGCCUGAGAGGGUGACCGGCCACACUGGGACUGAGACACGGCCCAGACUCCUACGGGAGGCAGCAGUGGGGAAUAUUGCACAAUGGGCGCAAGCCUGAUGCAGCGACGCCGCGUGAGGGAUGAAGGCCUGCGGGUUGUAAACCUCUUUCAGGAGGGAAGAAGCCGGCUUUUGGGUUGGUGACGGUACCUGCAGAAGAAGCGCCGGCUAACUACGUG
This 475-nucleotide ribosomal RNA is filed under the name uncultured bacterium. RNAcentral describes it as "partial 16S ribosomal RNA". It matches the Rfam family "Bacterial small subunit ribosomal RNA", at positions 28 to 507 of the family's 1533-position model. The record is from RNAcentral.